Polyodon spathula (Mississippi paddlefish) is the source of this 610-nucleotide long non-coding RNA. RefSeq lists it as uncharacterized. The record is from RefSeq and is a predicted model, not a curated record. Lineage: Eukaryota; Metazoa; Chordata; Actinopteri; Acipenseriformes; Polyodontidae. The transcript is spliced from 4 exons.
GCACGCAGUCACGGAGGGCUUGUCUUGCACGAUAGCACUCUGGCAAUGAUUUAUGCAUUGCGCUUUUGUUUCUUCUCCAUUCAUGCCUGCACAACACAUUCAGAUCUACCGAUGCAGCUGUGUCUCCCCUUCCACUGACUACGUCAACAUGAGAAUGCUGUUCAAGCCUCCUGGCUCGGGCCCAGAAUGGCAAGGUCAAUGGCUGUGUAAAAAAACAUCAGCAUCUGGAGGUCUGGAGCAGUCAACGCGUGAAGCUGGGCAUGAAUUGGCACUCCCUGGCUCCCACAGACCUGUGUUCCUGGCAUCUGUAGGCUGCUCUUGCUGUCAUGGCGAGUGACAGAUACCAGACUCCUGAGGUUCUGAAUUUGAUUCCAAUUAAAUCUUCCAUGAAUUCCAUUGUUCAGAAAAAAAUAUUGUUCUGUCCCAAUAGUUUCCUGAUUAGUAUACUGAUGGCUGACAAUGCUGUUGAUAUAGGUAAAACAUAUGUACUCUGAAUGCAGAGUAUUGCGAAUCAUAAUUAAAUAUUACUGUGCAUGUAAACACAAUGCAAGGUUUCUAUUAUUUGAAGCCCAGUGCUCCACUGGUAGUACCAACAAAUGCAGAAUUGUUU